AUUAAGAAGGAAGAUAGGGGGAAUGCAUGGAUAUGACCAAACUCACGCUUAUUUCUUGGGAUUGUGAGUUUGCUGCCCUCUAACAGUGCUGGGAACAUAAUCCUUCAUGAGGAGCAGAAACAUCUUGCAGUUUAUGUCCAUUUUUAUCCAUUGAUCUCCUGCUGUCGAUGUCUGACUUUUCGCUUUGUCUGUUGUAUCAGUGGGAGCUGAUGUCAACUCUUCAGAAUGUCAAGGUUCUGCAAUUCUCAUAGAUUCCCAGGAGCUCGAAGUCCCCACAUCUUCCAGGGAUGAGCGGCACUCCAGACUCCCAGGCCAUCCAGGAUAGCUAGGGCCACCUGGGACUCCAGGAGACAUUGAGAAGUCCUUCCCCACUCAAGUCUGCCUUUGCAGUGAAGCUGAGGGAUCCCAUCCCAGGCCCCUCCAAGCCCAUUGUCUUCAAGGAAGUGUUGAGUAAUCAUCAGGGCCACUUCAAUCUUACCAAGGGGAUGUUCACCUGCAUGUACCACCUCAAUCUUACCACAGGAAUGUUCACCUGGC
Molecule: non-coding RNA, 537 nt
Filed under: Pongo abelii (Sumatran orangutan)
Lineage: Eukaryota; Metazoa; Chordata; Mammalia; Primates; Hominidae
Source: RNAcentral